GUGUUGGUUCGCUUGGUACGC
Molecule: microRNA, 21 nt
Filed under: Phytophthora sojae
Lineage: Eukaryota; Oomycota; Peronosporomycetes; Peronosporales; Peronosporaceae
Description: psj-miR8788b-3p
Source: miRBase by way of RNAcentral